UUUAAAACAUCAACUCUAAACUUUAAAUCGUCAACUAUAAACCCUAAACAAUGAAACAUCAACUCUAAACCCUAAACCCCAAAACAUCAACUCUAAACCCUAAACCCUAAAACUUUAAAUUUAAACCCUAAAACAUCAACUUUAAACCCUAAACGUAAACCCUAAAACUUCAAAUCUAAACCCUAAACGUAAACCCUAAACCCUAAAUCUAAACUUAAAACAUCAACUUUAAACCCUAAAUCAUCAACUCUAAACCCUAAACCAUGAAAAAUCAACUAUAAACCCUAAACCCGAAACAUCAACUCUAAACCCUAAACCUUCAAAUCAAAACCCUAAAACAUCAACUCUAAACCUUAAACGUAAACCCUAAACCCUAAACCUUAUAUUUUUUUCUGAAAUUCGAGCCCUAAACCCUAAAACCCUAAACCUGCAAAUCUAAACCCUAAAACAUCAACUCUAAACCCUAAACGUAAACCCUAAAUCUUUAAAUAUAAACCCUGCAACAUCAACUCUAGGGUUUUAGGGUUUAGUGUUUAGGAUUUAGGGUUUGGGGUUUAGAGUUGAAGAUUUAGGGUUUAGGGUUUAGAGUUAAUGUUUUAGGGUUUAGGGUUAAUUUUUUAGGGUUUAGGGUUUAGAAUUUACUUUUUAGGGUUUUGGGUUUAGUGUUGAUAGUUUAAGAUUUAGUGUUGAUGGUUUAGGGUUUAGAGUUUAGAGUUGAGUUUAGGGUUUAGGGUUUAGAGUUGAUGUUUUAGGGUUUAAAGUUGAAGGUUUAGGGUUUAGAGUUGAUGUUUCGGGGUUUAGGGUUUAUAGUUGAUGUUUCGGGGUUUAGGAUUUAUUUAAAAAAAAAAGGGUUUAGGAUUGAUGGUUUAGGGUUCGUAUUUAAAAAAAAUAAUAGGAUUUAUGAUUGAUGGUUUAGGGUUUAGAGUUGAUUUUUAGGGUUUAGGGUUUUAAUUCCAAAAUAGUAUAAUUCAGAAAAAAAUUAAAAAAAUUAUUUUUUUAGAUUUUUAGCUAUUUAAAUAUUUAUUUAUUAUAUAUAUAAAGAAUAUGGAAAUAAGAGUCUUUUGUCACUUAAUGAAGAAGUUAUUUUUGAAAAUGUCUCUUUAGUGGUUGUAAAAAUGAAAAGUGGUAGCAUAAAAAUGGUAAACAUGUAAUUUCCCCUUCUUUUUUUUUUAAUUAUAACAAAAUCUGUUGCGAAAGAAUCUAACAAAACUAUAUCUCUUUUCCGCGCGAAGCGCGGAUAAUUGUUUUUUAUAUGUAAUUGUUGAUUUGUUAUAUGAAUAUCAAAUAUUGUAGACUAUAGUUGCUUUUUAUAUUUAAUUGUUGAUUUUGUUGUAUUAUUUUUAUAUUAUCUCUUAUUAUUGUUGAUUUUGUUUAAUAUUGAAAGUAUUUAAAUUCAAAGAAAAUGUUUUUUUCUUGUUUUCUCUUGUUUAAAAGUGUUUCCUAAUUUUAUUUCAAAACACUUUUAACGUAUUGUAAUAGAUAAGUUUUUAUUUUUGUGGUAUUGAACUUUUAAUAAGCUAAGGUGGAUCAAUAUCUAAUUAAAUGUAAAUAGUAGUGUACAUAAUUUUUUUAUAAAGACUAAUUUUAUUAAACUUAGGUGGAAAAUUGCCAAAAAUACAAUUUUCAAAGUACUACUUUUCAUGUUUACACUAACCACUUUUACUCUCGUCUUUAAUGAAAAGUAAAAGAUAUUUAUAAUCCUUUCAUUAAAUUUGACAAAAAAAUAUACGCUUAACUAAUCUAAACUUAAAUCAUCAACUCUAAACCCUAAAUCAUCAACUCUAAACCCUAAACCAUGAAACAUCAACUCUAAAUUCUAAACCCCGAAACAUCAACUAUAAACCCUAAACCCUAAACUCUAAACCUUCAAAUCUAAACCCUAAAACAUCAACUUUAAACCCUAAACGUAAACCCUAAACCCUAAAUUUAAACUUAAAACAUCAACCCUAAACCCUAAAUCAUCAACUCUAAACCCUAAACCAUGAAAAAUCAACUCUAAACCCUAAACCCCGAAAAAUCAACUCUAAACCUUAAACCCUAAACCUUCAAAUCUAAACUCUAAAACAUCAACUCUAAACCCUAAACGUAAACCCUAAACCCUGAACCCUAUAUUUUUCUAAAAUUCGAACCCUAAACCUUCAAAUCUAAACCCUAAAACAUCAACUCUAAACCCUAAACGUAAACCCUAAACCCUGAACCCUAUAUUU
RNAcentral lists this long non-coding RNA (2207 nucleotides) under Brassica napus (rape). RNAcentral describes it as "long non-coding RNA (BNAP_LNC020910)". The record is from RNAcentral. Lineage: Eukaryota; Viridiplantae; Streptophyta; Magnoliopsida; Brassicales; Brassicaceae.